RNAcentral lists this ribosomal RNA (639 nucleotides) under Nostoc paludosum NA2. RNAcentral describes it as "bacterial SSU rRNA". It matches the Rfam family "Bacterial small subunit ribosomal RNA", at positions 114 to 788 of the family's 1533-position model. The record is from RNAcentral. Lineage: Bacteria; Bacillati; Cyanobacteriota; Cyanophyceae; Nostocales; Nostocaceae.
CGCGUGAGAAUCUAGCUUCAGGUCGGGGAUAACAGUGGGAAACGACUGCUAAUACCGGAUGUGCCGAAAGGUGAAAGGCUUGCUGCCUGAAGAUGAGCUCGCGUCUGAUUAGCUAGUUGGUGUGGUAAGAGCGCACCAAGGCGACGAUCAGUAGCUGGUCUGAGAGGAUGAUCAGCCACACUGGGACUGAGACACGGCCCAGACUCCUACGGGAGGCAGCAGUGGGGAAUUUUCCGCAAUGGGCGAAAGCCUGACGGAGCAAUACCGCGUGAGGGAGGAAGGCUCUUGGGUUGUAAACCUCUUUUCUCAAGGAAUAAGUUCUGAAGGUACUUGAGGAAUAACAUCGGCUAACUCCGUGCCAGCAGCCGCGGUAAUACGGAGGAUGCAAGCGUUAUCCGGAAUGAUUGGGCGUAAAGCGUCCGCAGGUGGCUAUGUAAGUCUGCUGUUAAAGAGCAAAGCUUAACUUUGUAAAAGCAGUGGAAACUACAUAGCUAGAGUGCGUUCGGGGUAGAGGGAAUUCCUGGUGUAGCGGUGAAAUGCGUAGAGAUCAGGAAGAACACCGGUGGCGAAGGCGCUCUACUAGGCCGCAACUGACACUGAGGGACGAAAGCUAGGGGAGCGAAUGGGAUUAGAUACCCC